GCCAGGUGUUGUGGUGGGUGCCUGUAAUCCCAGCUACUCAGGAGGCUGAGGCAGGAGAAUCGCUUGAACCCGGGAGGCGGAGGUUGCAGUGAGCCAAGAUUGUGCCACUGCACUCCAGCCUGGGUGACAGAGUGAGACUCUGUCUCAA
Molecule: non-coding RNA, 148 nt
Filed under: Homo sapiens (human)
Lineage: Eukaryota; Metazoa; Chordata; Mammalia; Primates; Hominidae
Source: Rfam by way of RNAcentral